This is a non-coding RNA of Microcebus murinus (gray mouse lemur), 1362 nucleotides long. The record is from RefSeq and is a predicted model, not a curated record. NCBI's taxonomy places the organism in Eukaryota, Metazoa, Chordata, Mammalia, Primates, Cheirogaleidae.
UGAAGGGGGUCGUGCAGUGACUACAGGCAAGAAGGAAAGCAGUUGGCAUGUGGGAGGGAACUGGACCUGACCAUGCUGCAGUGAAAGGCAGCCAGUUCUGGCACUCGCCACAGCCGGGAGCCCAGCCCCGUGCGAAAUCAGCCCCUCUGACAGCACCCAGGCCUGCUGAGGAGACGGACACCUUCUGUACCAGGUGAAAAUGAGAAGUCAUCGAAGGCCACAAUCCCCAACCCUUGCAGUGUGCCAGGCACUGCAUGCUAAUUGUCCCAUUUGAUACAGCAGAAAACUGACAGUCAGAGCAUUGCUCCUUCCCCUAAUCCACAAAGCUAGGAAGCAGUGGAUUCAAGUUCAGUCAGCCCAUUUUAAAGCGAUGUCAGUGCUUUACAAAUCAUUACUUCUCCAAUAAAGCAAAACACAACCACCCUGCUCCUCUGAAGCUCAGGACAUUAGUUAACUCUUAGGGUAUUGACAAGCGGGAUGACACUCCUCCAGCCCCAUGGCUGCUGUGUUAACCUCCUCCCUGCUGGCCUGGCCCCUCCAUCACCUUCACUGUGACACCUUCAGAUGUGACACCAGCCAUCAUUUUUCUGGCCGCCUUCACUGUCUGGUUGUCCCUGCCUUGACUGGGCCUUGUCAUCACUGAGUUGCUUGGCGUUCACAUGUCUCACUGCUGACAGCGUCAGGCCUGCCAGCCCUGCCCACUCACGGGCUCAAGUCCCCUGCUGUAGCUGGCAGGGCCGCCUGCUGCCUGCACUGCUUUCCUUCCUCCCCUCCUUCCCGCCUUCAUGCCUACCAUGUGGCCUGCCAGCUUCUCUGAGAAAACACCCUAAAUCCCCCCACUCCCACCUUCUUCCAUCACACAUGCUCUACCUUGGGUAAGCCUGGAAUGGUCCUGCCUGUGUCUGGGCAGGGGAGCUCUGCCCUAGGAAACUGCCCAGUUGGUGAGGCAGGAGGAGGAAGGGGCAGCUGCUGCCAUAGGAAAUUUGGGUUUAAGGUGGAAGCAAUCCAUGUGAGUAAUGUUCAGCUGCAGAGGUGAACACUGGAUUUAUCCAGGCUAGAGUUUGCCAUGUGAUUCUUGAGGGAAACAAGUGGGGAUGUUGAGAAUACUGGCUGAAGUGAUGGAGUGCUGAAUCUACAGAAUGGUUAUCUCACGUAAAAACGUGCUGUUUACUUAUUGCUUAUAAACCAUAAGUGUCUUAAGGGCAGGGCCUUGGCCUUGUUCUCCAUUGUAAUCCCAUCCUCUUGCUGGUCACUUUCCUGAGCACAUGGGUCAUCGGAGGAGACUUGGUGCUCAGGCAGCUGGGGAGAGAGGGCUGAAGGACAGGGGUGUGGCUGGAGAUGUUUGGGUGUGUGGUCAGAGAU